This is a non-coding RNA of Schistosoma mattheei, 46 nucleotides long. The record is from Rfam. NCBI's taxonomy places the organism in Eukaryota, Metazoa, Platyhelminthes, Trematoda, Strigeidida, Schistosomatidae.
GCACUGCUGAAUAGUCCCACAAUAGGACGAAACGGCCGUCCAAUGC